AUCCAGCUGAUGAGUCCCAAAUAGGACGAAACGCGGGUAAUUGAU
Molecule: non-coding RNA, 45 nt
Filed under: Schistosoma mattheei
Lineage: Eukaryota; Metazoa; Platyhelminthes; Trematoda; Strigeidida; Schistosomatidae
Source: RNAcentral